Molecule: unclassified non-coding RNA, 347 nt
Filed under: soil metagenome
Description: partial contains 5.8S ribosomal RNA, internal transcribed spacer 2, and large subunit ribosomal RNA
Rfam family: 5.8S ribosomal RNA (bases 1-120)
Source: RNAcentral
GAUGAAGAACGCAGUGAAAUGCGAUAAUUAAUGUGAAUUGCAGAAUUCAGUGAAUCAUCGAGUCUUUGAACGCACAUUGCGCCCCCUGGUAUUCCGGGGGGCAUGCCUGCCCGAGCGUCAUUGCUGCCCUCAAGCACGGCUUGUGUGUUGGGCUUCCGUCCCUGGCAACGGGGACGGGCCCAAAAGGCAGUGGCGGCACCAUGUCUGGUCCUCGAGCGUAUGGGGCUUUGUCACCCGCUCCCGUAGGUCCAGCUGGCAGCUAGCCUCGCAACCAAUCUUUUUAACCAGGUUGACCUCGGAUCAGGUAGGGAUACCCGCUGAACUUAAGCAUAUCAAUAAGCGGAGGA